UGUGGCCCGUGGAAUGGCGGAGAAAUCGCGGCGGUGCCAUGUCCUUUGGAAUUUUCUGUAAACACCUUCUAGGGUGCUGAGGGAGUAGUUGGGGCUCCCUGCAGGCACUGGGCUACAAAACUGCUCGGGACCGGGAUCCAGAGCGGGGGAGGGGACUGCCGCUGGUCUCUGGAUGCCACCUCCCAUCCCCCUGCCACCCUGCAGGAGCCCGUCACAGCUGAAUAUCGUCCCAGCUGGCAAAGGAAAAAUAUUUACCAGGUACCAGAACUGUUUCCACAGAGCAGUCCAAAAUGGAGUCCCUCAGCCAUCCAGCACCACUUAAGAGGUAACUGGGAAACUCUCUGUUAGACCAAGGCUCAUCUGCACCCCUGUCUGGAACAGCAGGUAAUGUCUAUAUGAUUCAAGAAACCUCUGCCUUCUGCCCAAGAUAAACAACUUUGCAUUGUGUUUAUGUUUAGAAACAGCUAGAAGCUCUUUAAUGAAGUCACUAUAGUGGAAUUUUAAACGAGCAAACUGCUAUCUCAGACGUCAAAAAUUACAGUGAUCGUUUAUAGGGUGUGAAACAAGGGGCCUAUUUCUAGGCAGAAAAGGAGAAGGAAUUAAAUCUAGUGAGUUCACUGUAAGUUAAUUUAUAUUAAUUAAUUGUGGUUAAUAAUACAUGCUCUUUGGGAAUUAUAUUUCCAAUACUUGCAAUGUUUUCUGCUUCUAAAACACUUGUCUCCAACCUUAAAGUGUUUAUACACAUUCAAAAUUAGGAGACUACAUUUUGGAUAAGGAGAGGGAUAUUCUGUAGUAAAACAAUUUGAAAACAAGAGAACGUUUAUCUGUUUAUGUCAAAUGUCAGGAAACACAACAGAGAUGAUCUGUAAUUUAUGAUUACAAAAUACUACAUAGUCAAAUUUCAUCUUAUCUCAGACCAAGUCAUAACUACUCAAUAUUUU
This is a long non-coding RNA of Camelus dromedarius (Arabian camel), 941 nucleotides long. RefSeq lists it as uncharacterized. Lineage: Eukaryota; Metazoa; Chordata; Mammalia; Artiodactyla; Camelidae. The record is from RefSeq and is a predicted model, not a curated record. The transcript is spliced from 3 exons.